GGGUCAAGGCUUCGAACGCCUCCCAAGGAGGUGCAUCCCUGCAAGAGGCUGCAUCCAGCAGUCAUGGAAGAGGCUCCCCUGGGGCCUGCUCCAAUUCCUGCUGGGGAAAUCAAGUGGAGGUGCCCCUUGAAGAAAUGGUGAGGCCACCAAUUUCAGGGGUUCUGUCCUGGCCUGCGGCCCUGGAUCGUCCAGCCUCUGCUGGGAUGGGGAGCAGAUGACGCCCUUCUUGGCUGGAGCUGAGGGUGGGGGUCCCGCUUCCCCAAAGGCCUAGCCCUGGAUUCCAGCCACAGGUCCUACUGGGCAGCACCUGGCGCCGCCCCGCCCCUCCAGGCCUGGCACUCGCCCUUAAGAAACAUGGCGGCGAUGGCCUCACGCACCUCACGCCGCAGGCGCGUCACGCCACAGGCCAGCAAGGCUUCCUGUGUGCCACUCUCCUCCCCUCAGACUGGCUGCCAAAACAGGGAGCGGUAAGUAUGACCUGGCUGGUGGCGGUGUCCUGGGCGGCUCUGGGGCCGCUGUUGUGUGGCUGCCCGCAGGCGCUGCAGGGCGGGAUGCUGUACACCAGGGAGAGCGCGUCGCGGGAGCGCAAGGAACUCCAUGGCCUCUGAAGCUUCCAAGCCCACUUCUCCGACAACCGACGCCUGGGCUUCCAGGAGCAGAGGGGAUCCGCACUGUGGCUGUCACUGAGAGCCCAUUCCUCAUCAAUGGGAAACCUUUCUAUUUCCACGGAGUCAAGAAGCAUGAGGAUGUAGACGUGCACUGCGGCUCCUGGGUCCUCGUGGGGGCUGCUUCUGGUCACCUUCCACUUUUGCCUUCCCUGUGUCCUGCAGUUCAGGCCGAUGAGGCAAAUGAGCUUCCCUGUGGCAGCUCAGGAUGAUAAGGCAAAUGGCUCCAAACCACCCCACAGUGGAGCCGGUGGUUGGACUGGAGAGGGGGCUCAUGGUGUGGCUCUCCAGGGUCCUGGCUCUUGGAGAAAGUGCAACUUUGACAGGGACGGGUCACUGGGCUCUGCUGUCCCCUAUAUCCGAGGGAAGGACUUCAACUAUCUGCUGCUGGUGAAGGACUUCAACCUGCUUCGCUGCCUUGACACCAACGCCUUCCGCACACCCAGCCACUAUCCCUACGGGGAAGAGAUGUUGCAGAUGUGUGACUGCUCUUCAACAACGUGUCUAUGCAUCACUACACGUGGGUGA
Molecule: long non-coding RNA, 1193 nt
Filed under: Piliocolobus tephrosceles (Ugandan red Colobus)
Lineage: Eukaryota; Metazoa; Chordata; Mammalia; Primates; Cercopithecidae
Description: lncRNA (ENSPTEG00000020956.1)
Source: RNAcentral